RNAcentral lists this long non-coding RNA (1246 nucleotides) under Malus domestica (apple). RNAcentral's name for it is "long non-coding RNA (MDOM_LNC010452)". The record is from RNAcentral. Lineage: Eukaryota; Viridiplantae; Streptophyta; Magnoliopsida; Rosales; Rosaceae.
AAUUUAUGUAUCUUUGCUUUGUGAGUAUGAGGAACUAAACCCCCCUUGGCUAGGGGGGGAUUCGAAACCAUGUUUAUGCUUGCUAUAUGAUUUGAUUACUUCCAAUUGCGUUUCAUAAGUUGUGAAUUCAAUUUAUUUAUCUACAUGAAUUAAAACUGAUUUGUGUAUGUUGGUUGAGAGUGCACGCUUAAUUUUCAUACAUAAGUUUGAUGCUAGGAUAUAAGGGAGUUUCACCUAAUCGUUAUGAACUUAUAUUCACAAGUAGUAAAAGUUGUUGAUCACAAUUGUGUUAAGUAAAUUCUUGGCAUAAGUUUCAUGCGCUUUCAUACUUACGAGUGCCUCGUCAAUACUUAUGAUUUCCAUUGAACGUAAUGAUCUUUGAUUGUAUCUUUAUUAUGCGCUUUCAUAUAGAGAACUUUUGAGGAAUAAUUUGAUUGUGAUGCGCUUUUUCCGUCCAAUUCAUUGACAUAAGGGAAAUCUGAAAGUUAAUUUAAGCGGACCUAAUUAACUUGGAGUGUUGAGUAUUCAUGGUUUAUUGAAUUGCAAUUAGAAAUCGUUUCGUAUGCAAGUGUGACAUGUGUGGAGAAGAACCCCUUAGCUAGCUUCCCAUCCAUUCAGUUUUAUCAAAUUCGUUUUAGAAUUUGUUUAAUUUACAAAGUUUUGUUUUUGUUUUCAAUUUUCGUCAAAAUCAAUCCCCCUUUAUUUUGAAGUGUCAUAUUAGUUAGAAAUCAAUUUAAGUUGUGUUUUUAAGAGUCUUGAGUCAAGUUAUACCUUAAUUUCGUCCAAGUUAGUGUUUUGUGUUCAAAACUGCCCAGAAAGUGUUUUUAAGGCAAUUUUGAGUGUUUGUUUGCUGUUUUGAGUCUUUUGGUUUGUCUUGGUGUUUUAAAGUUUAGUUUUGCAUUCUUUGAGUCUAGUUUAGUGUUUUAAACUUGUUUUUACGUAUUUGAGUCAGUUUUCAAGUGAUUUAGCAAUCCCUCCUAAUCCCCGGUCUAGAACGAUCCCUACUUACAUACUUUGCUACAAUUGAUAAAAAGAGGGUUUAAUUUGAGUGCUAGUUAAUAUCAUAUCAUUCAGAGCACACAUCUAAUCUAGAACACUAAAAGAAUUAGGGUAAAGUACAAAAAAGUACCUCAACUAUUGAUGUCACGACACUUUCAUACCUCAUCUUUUAAAAUUGACAAUGUCAUACCUCAUCUUACAAAUUUGUGACAAUGUCAGACCUCCAUCAGUUUUUCUGUUAAUUUUU